GCACAAGACAAGUAUACACAAUCCAUCUCUAUUUAUUAAACAUUUUUAAUAGCAGAAACAUAGGAGAAUAAACUAGUAUUUUCUUGUGUAUAACAUACAUCAAUUAAUUUUUGUGACAAAACAGAGAAGAAACUAACAUAUUCUUCACAUACAACACAAACAACGAAAAAGGAAAUGAAAAAAAUAAUAAUUAUCAUAACAAUAAUAAUACUAACACCUUCUUUGUAAUAAGAUAAGCAAGGUGCAAACAAUUCAUCUGUUGGACUCUGGAUUUGCACCACUAGGAACUUCAUGAGCAGCCACCCCAUAUUGUUGACUCGCCGUCCUGGCCUCAUCGGCAUUGACCGUGAAAGCGGUCGCAGUUGUGGUUGUGGUCACGGUCGUGGUCGUGGUCGUGUCCGUAGCAGUACUGACAGUUCCCAUAUUGUUGACUCGCCGUACCGGUCCCACCGCCAUUGACGGUGAAAGCAGUUGCAGCUGUGGUCAUAGCCGUGGUCGUGGCCGUAGCAGUACUGACAGCUGAUUGCUUAGAAUGAACUUGCAUGGCUGAUUCCUUACUCGUUGGAGAAUUUUCUAGGUUAACUCUUCCAUUUGUUGCUAAGGAAAAAGCUUGAAAAUUGAUUGUGUUAGUAGUUGGAAUUAUCAAGAAUAGCCCAAGGAAGAGAAGAAGAAAGAGAGAUUGUGAUAGUGUUGUUUUUGCCAUGAAAAAAGUUGAAUAACAAAGAAAAAUAACCACCCCCCAAUAACCCUAGGGAGAUCAAUAUCCAUGAACCAAAUGAAACCGCCAAGAUGGAAAUGCUAAAGGACAAAGAAAUCCAAAAAAUAGAAAAAGGAAAAUUUUAUGUUAUUCUUACUAUGAGUAGAAACUUUAGCUUCUCAAUUUCAAACCAUAAAGUAAUGUUAUGACUAUCAAGAGCUACAAUGGUUUUCUCAUCAAAAUAGAUGGAUAUAAAUAUGGGAAAUCCUGUGAAACAUGACUUUCUCUUUCACUUUCCCAUUUUGCCCCUCUUUUUCUUUAUAUUAUUGGUAUCUUAAGCACCUCCCAUACACGUCAAUUAUCCACUGGGC
This 1068-nucleotide long non-coding RNA is filed under the name Nicotiana benthamiana. Its description in RNAcentral is "long non-coding RNA (NBEN_LNC039789)". Lineage: Eukaryota; Viridiplantae; Streptophyta; Magnoliopsida; Solanales; Solanaceae. The record is from RNAcentral.